Molecule: ribosomal RNA, 460 nt
Filed under: uncultured bacterium
Lineage: Bacteria
Description: partial 16S ribosomal RNA
Rfam family: Bacterial small subunit ribosomal RNA
Source: RNAcentral
CCUACGGGAGGCAGCAGUGAGGAAUAUUGGUCAAUGGACGAGAGUCUGAACCAGCCAAGUAGCGUGAAGGAUGACUGCCCUAUGGGUUGUAAACUUCUUUUAUGUGGGAAUAAAAUGUUACACGUGUGGGAUUUUGUAUGUACCAUAUGCAUAAGGAUCGGCUAACUCAGUGCCAGCAGCCGCGGUAAUACGGAGGAUCCGAGCGUUAUCCGGAUUUAUUGGGUUUAAAGGGAGCGUAGGUGGAUUGUUAAGUCAGUUGUGAAAGUUUGCGGCUCAACCGGAAAAUUGCAGUUGAAACUGGCAGUCUUGAGUACAGUAGAGGUGGGCGGAAUUCGAGGUGUAGCGGUGAAAUGCUUAGAUAUCACGAAGAACUCCGAUUGCGAAGGCAGCUCACUGGACUGCAACUGACACUGAGGCUCGAAAGUGUGGGUAGCAAACAGGAUUAGAUACCCCAGUAGUC